Molecule: ribosomal RNA, 463 nt
Filed under: uncultured bacterium
Lineage: Bacteria
Description: partial 16S ribosomal RNA
Rfam family: Bacterial small subunit ribosomal RNA
Source: RNAcentral
GACGAACGCUGGCGGCGUGCUUAACACAUGCAAGUCGAACGGAAAGGCCUUUUCGGAGGUACUCGAGUGGCGAACGGGUGAGUAACACGUGGGUGAUCUGCCCUGCACUCCGGGAUAAGCCUGGGAAACUGGGUCUAAUACCGGAUAGGACCGCACUUUAGUGUGUGUGGUGGAAAGUUUUUUCGGUGUAGGAUGAGCCCGCGGCCUAUCAGCUUGUUGGUGGGGUAAUGGCCUACCAAGGCGGCGACGGGUAGCCGGACUGAGAGGUUGGUCGGCCACAUUGGGACUGAGAUACGGCCCAGACUCCUACGGGAGGCAGCAGUGGGGAAUAUUGCACAAUGGGCGCAAGCCUGAUGCAGCGACGCCGCGUGGGGGAUGACGGCCUUCGGGUUGUAAACGCCUUUCGCCAGGGACGAAGCGUUUUGUGACGGUACCUGGAGAAGAAGCACCGGCUAACUACGUG